RNAcentral lists this ribosomal RNA (519 nucleotides) under Triticum aestivum (bread wheat). Its description in RNAcentral is "partial small subunit ribosomal RNA". Lineage: Eukaryota; Viridiplantae; Streptophyta; Magnoliopsida; Poales; Poaceae. The record is from RNAcentral.
AUGUUGAAUUCUCCUCAUGCUUAUAAUCAACACAAAGCUUUAACUAAACAUAUCGUUGAUGCUAUGAUGCAAUCUUAUGAAGAAAAGCUUAAUUUGGAAGUUUCUAUUCCUAGAAAACUUUAUGAUGAGUGGGAACCUACUAUUAAGAUUAAGAUUAAAGAUUAUGAAUGCUAUGCUUUGUGUGAUUUUGGUGCUAGUGUUUCCACAAUUCCGAAAACUUUAUGUGAUGUGUUAGGAUUUCGUGAAUUUGAUGAUUGUUCCUUAAAUUUGCAUCUUGUGAAUUCCACUAUUAAGAAACCUAUGAGAAGAAUUAAUGAUGUUCUUAUUGUUGCAAAUAGGAAUUAUUUGCCCGUAGAUUUCAUUGUUCUUGAUAUAGAUUGCAAUCCUACAUGUCCUAUUAUUCUUGGUAGACCUUUCCUUAGAACGAUUGGUGCAAUUAUUGAUAUGAAAGAAGCAACCAUUAGAUUUCAAUUUCCAUUAAGGAAAGGCAUGGAAAAACUUUCCAAGAAAGAAAAUUAA